Molecule: ribosomal RNA, 2871 nt
Filed under: Clostridioides difficile
Lineage: Bacteria; Bacillati; Bacillota; Clostridia; Peptostreptococcales; Peptostreptococcaceae
Description: bacterial LSU rRNA
Rfam family: Bacterial large subunit ribosomal RNA
Source: RNAcentral
GGAUGCCUUGGCACUAGGAGCCGAUGAAGGACGUGAUAAGCUGCGAUAAGCUUCGGGGAGUUGCACGUAAACUUUGAUCCGAAGAUUUCCGAAUGAGGAAACUCACUUAGAGUAAUGUCUAAGUAUCAUUAAGUGAAUACAUAGCUUAAUGAGGGGAACUCAGGGAACUGAAACAUCUAAGUACCUGAAGGAAGAGAAAGAAAUUCGAUUCCGUAAGUAGCGGCGAGCGAACGCGGAUUAGCCCAAACCAAUAAAGUUUUCUUUAUUGGGGUUGCGGACAUAUCAUAACGAAGAGGUAUCGUAAUUGAAGAGGUUUGGAAAGACCCACCACAGAAGGUAAUAGUCCUGUAUGUUAAACGAGAAGACUUCAGAUAUGAUCCAGAGUACCACGGGACACGUGAAACCCUGUGGGAAGCAGGAGGGACCACCCUCCAAGGCUAAAUACUACCUAGUGACCGAUAGCGUAUAGUACCGUGAGGGAAAGGUGAAAAGAACCCCGGGAGGGGAGUGAAAUAGAACCUGAAACCCUGCACUUACAAGCUGUGGAAGCACAUUUCUUGUGUGACCGCGUACUUUUUGUAGAACGGGCCAACGAGUUACGUUAAGUAGCAAGGUUAAGCACUUAAGGUGCGGAGCCGUAGCGAAAGCGAGUUUUAACUGAGCGUUCAGUUACUUGACGUAGACCCGAAACCGGGCGACCUACCCAUGAGCAGGAUGAAGCGAAAGUAAAAUUUCGUGGAGGUCCGAACCCACGAGCGUUGAAAAGCUCGGGGAUGACUUGUGGGUAGCGGUGAAAUUCCAAUCGAGCCCGGAGAUAGCUGGUUCUCCCCGAAAUAGCUUUAGGGCUAGCCUCAAGGUGAGAGAUACGGAGGUAGAGCACUGAAUGUCCUAGGGGGUAUUGCACCUACCGAAGACUAUCAAACUCCGAAUGCCGUCAUCUUAUACUUGGGAGUCAGACUGUGGGUGAUAAGAUUCAUAGUCGAAAGGGCAACAGCCCAGAUCGUCAGCUAAGGUCCCUAAAUGUAAGUUAAGUGGUAAAGGAUGUGGGAUUGCACAGACAACCAGGAUGUUGGCUUAGAAGCAGCCACUCAUUCAAAGAGUGCGUAAUAGCUCACUGGUCGAGUGAUCCUGCGCCGAAGAUUUCCGGGGCUAAAACUUACUACCGAAGCUACGGCAUCANAUGAUGGGUAGGGGAGCUUCCCAUACGGGUUGAAGCAUGACCGUAAGGACAUGUGGACAGUAUGGGAGUGAGAAUGUUGGCAUGAGUAGCGAGAUGUGGGUGAGAAUCCCACAGGCCGUAAACCCAAGGUUUCCAGGGGAAGGUUCGUCCGCCCUGGGUUAGUCGGGACCUAAGCUGAGGCCGAAAGGCGUAGGUGAUGGACAACAGGUUGAUAUUCCUGUACUACCGAUAACCGUUUGAGAGAAGGGAUGACACAGUAGGAUAAGCUAAGCACACUGUUGGUUAUGUGUGCCCAAGCAUUGAGGCAGUCAAAGCAGGCAAAUCCGCUUUGAUAAUGCUGGGAUGUGAUGGGGAGCGAAAUUUAGUAGCGAAGUAGCUGAUUUCACACUGUCAAGAAAAGUCUCUAUCGAGGUUAAAGGUACCCGUACCGCAAACCGACACAGGUGGGUGAGGAGAGUAUCCUAAGGCCAGCGAGAGAACUGUUGUUAAGGAACUCGGCAAAAUGACCCCGUAACUUAGGGAUAAGGGGUGCCACCAUCCGGUGGCCGCAGAGAAUAGGCCCAAGCGACUGUUUACCAAAAACAUAGGUUUCUGCUAAGUCGCAAGACGAUGUAUAGGAGCUGACGCCUGCCCGGUGCUGGAAGGUUAAGGGGAUCUGUUAGAGCAAUCGAAGCAGUGAACUUAAGCCCCAGUAAACGGCGGCCGUAACUAUAACGGUCCUAAGGUAGCGAAAUUCCUUGUCGGGUAAGUUCCGACCCGCACGAAAGGCGUAACGAUUUGGGCACUGUCUCAACAACAGACUCGGUGAAAUUGUAAUUCCGGUGAAGAUGCCGGAUACCUGCGACAGGACGGAAAGACCCCAUGGAGCUUUACUGUAGCUUGACAUUGGGUCUUGGUACUACAUGUACAGGAUAGGUGGGAGGCUUUGAAACCAGGACGCCAGUUUUGGCGGAGCCAUCCUUGGGAUACCACCCUUGUAGUACUGGGACUCUAACCAUAGGCCAUGAAUCUGGUCUUGGGACACUGUCAGGUGGGCAGUUUGACUGGGGCGGUCGCCUCCCAAAAGGUAACGGAGGCGCUCAAAGGUUCUCUCAGUACGGUCGGAAAUCGUACGUAGAGUGUAAAGGCAAAAGAGAGCUUGAUUGCAAGACAUACAGGUCGAGCAAGGAUGAAAAUCGGACUUAGUGAUCCGGUGGUUCUGCGUGGAAGGGCCAUCGCUCAACGGAUAAAAGCUACCCUGGGGAUAACAGGCUUAUCUCCCCCAAGAGUCCACAUCGACGGGGAGGUUUGGCACCUCGAUGUCGGCUCAUCACAUCCUGGGGCUGUAGUAGGUCCCAAGGGUUGGGCUGUUCGCCCAUUAAAGUGGUACGCGAGCUGGGUUCAGAACGUCGUGAGACAGUUCGGUCCCUAUCCGUCGCAGGCGUAGGAAAUUUGAGAAGACCUGUCCUUAGUACGAGAGGACCGGGAUGGACGUACCUCUGGUGUACCAGUUGUUCUGCCAAGGGCAUGGCUGGGUAGCUAUGUACGGAAUGGAUAAGCGCUGAAAGCAUCUAAGCGCGAAGCCAACUUCAAGAUAAGAUUUCCCACCGCAAGGGUAAGACCCCAGAAAGACUAUCUGGUUGAUAGGUCGAAGGUGUAAGUGCAGCAAUGUAUUUAGCUUAUCGAUACUAAUAGGUCGAGGACUUGACCAA